This 252-nucleotide ribosomal RNA is filed under the name uncultured bacterium. RNAcentral's name for it is "partial 16S ribosomal RNA". It matches the Rfam family "Bacterial small subunit ribosomal RNA", at positions 525 to 776 of the family's 1533-position model. The record is from RNAcentral.
ACGGAGGGAGCUAGCGUUAUUCGGAAUUACUGGGCGUAAAGCGCACGUAGGCGGCUUUGUAAGUUAGAGGUGAAAGCCUGGAGCUCAACUCCAGAAUUGCCUUUGAUACUGCAUGGCUUGAAUCCAGGAGAGGUGAGUGGAAUUCCGAGUGUAGAGGUGAAAUUCGUAGAUAUUCGGAAGAACACCAGUGGCGAAGGCGGCUCACUGGACUGGUAUUGACGCUGAGGUGCGAAAGCGUGGGGAGCAAACAGG